RNAcentral lists this ribosomal RNA (460 nucleotides) under uncultured bacterium. Its description in RNAcentral is "partial 16S ribosomal RNA". It matches the Rfam family "Bacterial small subunit ribosomal RNA", at positions 338 to 795 of the family's 1533-position model. The record is from RNAcentral.
CCUACGGGAGGCAGCAGUGAGGAAUAUUGGUCAAUGGGCGCAGGCCUGAACCAGCCAAGUCGCGUGAAGGAUGACUGCCCUACGGGUUGUAAACUUCUUUUGUAAGGGAGUAAAGUGAGGCACGUGUGCCUUUUUGCAUGUAUUUUAUGAAUAAGGAUCGGCUAACUCCGUGCCAGCAGCCGCGGUAAUACGGAGGAUCCGAGCGUUAUCCGGAUUUAUUGGGUUUAAAGGGAGCGUAGACGGGUUGUUAAGUCAGUUGUGAAAGUUUGCGGCUCAACCGUAAAAUUGCAUUUGAUACUGGCAGCCUUGAGUACAGUAGAGGUAGGCGGAAUUCGUGGUGUAGCGGUGAAAUGCUUAGAUAUCACGAAGAACUCCGAUUGCGAAGGCAGCCUACUAGACUGCCACUGACAUUGAUGCUCGAAAGUGUGGGUAUCAAACAGGAUUAGAUACCCGAGUAGUC